AGAGUUUGAUCCUGGCUCAGGAUAAACGCUGGCGGCGUGCUUUAUGCAUGCAAGUCGAACGGUCCAGAUCUUACCUUGUUAUGUGCUUGGGAUGGGCGAACGGCUGAUUAACUGCCCCCUAACCUACCUUGGAGUGGGAAAUAACUUGCCGAAAGGCGAGCUAAUGUCCCAUGUGGAAAUUAAUCACAUGCUUGAUUAUUAGAUCCUUAAGGCGCUCGUAUAGGGACUUGCGUCUGAUUAGCUAAUGGGCUAGGUAAUGGACUACCAAGGCGAGGAUCGAUAGCUGGUCUGACAGGAUGGUCACCCAGAUGGGGACUGGAACCCGGCCCCAACUCCUGCGGGAGGCUUUUGCGAGGAGUUUUGGGCAAUGACCGAAAGCUUGACCCAGCGACACCACGGGACGUAAGAAGGCCUUCUCUUUGCAAACCUCUUUUCUUGGGGAAGAAUUUUGACGGAACCCAAGGAAUAAUCCUCGGCUAACUACGUGCCAACACCCGCGGGAAUACCUAUGAGGCGAACGUUAUUCCGAUUUACUGGGCGUAGCGGGAGCGUAAGCCGUACCUUAAAUCUCAUGUGACAUCUUCUGGCUCACUCUCAAUGCUGCAUUUGAUACUGACGGACUAGAGAGCAGCAAAUGGAAGUGUAAUCCCCGGUGUAGCGGAGAUCUGCAUAAAUAUCGGUGACAACACCAGUGUCGAAGGCUAUUUCCCACGCUGAUUCUGACGCUCAUGCUCGAACAGCGUGGAUAGCAAACCCUAUUAGAUACCCGCGUAGUCCACGCCCUAUACGGUGGACACUAAAUAUACCGAAGUAUCGACCCUUUCUGUGUCUUUAGCUAACCCCUUUAGGUGUCCGCCUGGGGAGUACUGGACGCUCAAGCUGAAUUCUCAGAAUGAAUUGACGG
RNAcentral lists this ribosomal RNA (904 nucleotides) under uncultured bacterium. RNAcentral describes it as "bacterial SSU rRNA". It matches the Rfam family "Bacterial small subunit ribosomal RNA", at positions 8 to 916 of the family's 1533-position model. The record is from RNAcentral.